GACGAACGCUGUCGGCGUGCUUAACACAUGCAAGUCGAACGGAAAGGCCCUGCUUUUGUGGGGUGCUCGAGUGGCGAACGGGUGAGUAACACGUGAGUAACCUGCCCUUGACUUUGGGAUAACUUCAGGGAACUGGGGCUAAUACCGGAUAGGAGCUCCUGCUGCAUGGUGGGGGUUGGAAAGUUUCGGCGGUUGGGGAUGGACUCGCGGCUUAUCAGCUUGUUGGUGGGGUAGUGGCUUACCAAGGCUUUGACGGGUAGCCGGCCUGAGAGGGUGACCGGCCACAUUGGGACUGAGGUACGGCCCAGACUCCUACGGGAGGCAGCAGUGGGGAAUAUUGCACAAUGGGCGGAAGCCUGAUGCAGCAACGCCGCGUGCGGGAUGACGGCCUUCGGGUUGUAAACCGCUUUCGCCUGUGACGAAGCGUGAGUGACGGUAAUGGGUAAAGAAGCACCGGCUAACUACGUGCCAGCAGCCGCGGUGAUACGUAGGGUGCGAGCGUUGUCCGGAUUUAUUGGGCGUAAAGGGCUCGUAGGUGGUUGAUCGCGUCGGAAGUGUAAUCUUGGGGCUUAACCCUGAGCGUGCUUUCGAUACGGGUUGACUUGAGGAAGGUAGGGGAGAAUGGAAUUCCUGGUGGAGCGGUGGAAUGCGCAGAUAUCAGGAGGAACACCAGUGGCGAAGGCGGUUCUCUGGGCCUUUCCUGACGCUGAGGAGCGAAAGCGUGGGGAGCGAACAGGCUUAGAUACCCUGGUAGUCCACGCUGUAAACGGUGGGUACUAGGUGUGGGGUCCAUUCCACGGGUUCCGUGCCGUAGCUAACGCUUUAAGUACCCCGCCUGGGGAGUACGGCCGCAAGGCUAAAACUCAAAGGAAUUGACGGGGCCCCGCACAAGCGGCGGAGCAUGCGGAUUAAUUCGAUGCAACGCGUAGAACCUUACCUGGGUUUGACAUGGAUCGGGAGUGCUCAGAGAUGGGUGUGCCUCUUUUGGGGUCGGUUCACAGGUGGUGCAUGGCUGUCGUCAGCUCGUGUCGUGAGAUGUUGGGUUAAGUCCCGCAACGAGCGCAACCCUUGUUCACUGUUGCCAGCACGUUAUGGUGGGGACUCAGUGGAGACCGCCGGGGUCAACUCGGAGGAAGGUGGGGAUGACGUCAAGUCAUCAUGCCCCUUAUGUCCAGGGCUUCACGCAUGCUACAAUGGCUGGUACAGAGAGUGGCGAGCCUGUGAGGGUGAGCGAAUCUCGGAAAGCCGGUCUCAGUUCGGAUUGGGGUCUGCAACUCGACCUCAUGAAGUCGGAGUCGCUAGUAAUCGCAGAUCAGCAACGCUGCGGUGAAUACGUUCCCGGGGCU
RNAcentral lists this ribosomal RNA (1346 nucleotides) under uncultured bacterium. Its description in RNAcentral is "partial 16S ribosomal RNA". It matches the Rfam family "Bacterial small subunit ribosomal RNA", at positions 28 to 1381 of the family's 1533-position model. The record is from RNAcentral.